This 264-nucleotide long non-coding RNA is filed under the name Olea europaea (common olive). Its description in RNAcentral is "long non-coding RNA (OEUR_LNC006552)". The record is from RNAcentral. Lineage: Eukaryota; Viridiplantae; Streptophyta; Magnoliopsida; Lamiales; Oleaceae.
UUACUUAUCAAAUCCAUUACACAGACGCACAACUACUCGGAAUUAAUUGACAUAUAGAAAGUAUUGUCCUUGUUAGGCAACAGAGAGUGGGAAAGGUUGUGUCGAUUUUGUACUGUCAUUGCUGGUAAAUUAUGCAGGCCAUAACUGGCCAGGGACAUCUGAUUGUGCACGCACAGCUAGGAAUAAAUUAAUAAUAAGGGUAGUGAUACACAUACACGGAGAGAAGACCCACUAGGAGACAAUGUGAUGAAUCACUGCUAUCCC